Molecule: long non-coding RNA, 339 nt
Organism: Centrocercus urophasianus (Greater sage-grouse)
Lineage: Eukaryota; Metazoa; Chordata; Aves; Galliformes; Phasianidae
Exons: 3
Source: RefSeq, a predicted model, not a curated record
GUCAAAAGAGGUUUAGAUGAUCCCUGAGUGAGGUGUUUAUUCGUGUAGGCAAGUAUUCCACAUGAAGUCUAAAAUAGACCAAAAGCCUUUUCUAUGACCUGAAAUGGAAGUAUGUGCAUCUGAAGCAAUGACGUUCUUUUUCAUUUCCCUUUAUAACUCCAAGGCAAUGUCUGGAAGCAGAGAAAGGACCCAGCAGACCCUCUUCCACUUUUUCCACCAUUAUCAAAUGGAAAAAAGGACAAAAAGAUACCUUACAGAAAAUCUCUGCAACUUCACAGAACUAUUCAGCCCAAUGCUAAACAGGAACUACUGAGUCACGGCCUGAACCUCUGAUUGAUC